GGCUUAGAAGCAGCCAUCCUUGAAAGAGUGCGUAAUAGCUCACUGGUCGAGUGGUUCUGCGCCGAUAAUGUAGCGGGGCUUAAGUACACCGCCGAAACCGCGGCAACACAUGUAAAGGUGUGUUGGGUAGGGGAGCGUCGUGCAUGUGUUGAAGCUACUUGGUGACAGGUGGUGGAGUGUGUGCGAGUGAGAAUGCAGGCAUGAGUAACGAUUGAUGUGUGAGAAACAUAUCCGCCGGAUGACUAAGGGUUCCUGGGUGAAGUUUGUCUUCCCAGGGUGAGUCGGGGCCUAAGGCGAGGCCGACAGGCGUAGUCGAUGGAUGACGGGUUGAUAUUCCCGUACCCGUGUGCGUGCGACAAGUGAUGAAUCUUAUGGUACUAACCACCCGCUUGUUUCUGCUGAUCUUUUUGGUUGGUGGUUGCAGGUGCGUGGGAUCUUCGUGGGUAGUAGUCAAGUGAUGGGGUGACGCAGAGUGGUAGCUAGGCUUCCUUAUUGGAUUGGAGUGCAAGCGUGUGGCCUGUGGGGUUGGGAAAUCCGCCCCACACAUGAGGUGAGGCGUGAUGCGGACACCAGUUGUGGUGGUAGUUAGUGUGCCUGUGCUGUCUAGAAAAGCCUCUAGCGAGUGUGUGCAUGGCCCGUACCGGAAACCGACACAGGUGGUCAGGUAGAGAAUACUAAGGCGUUCGGGUGAACUGUGGUUAAGGAACUCGGCAAAAUGCCCCCGUAACUUCGGGAGAAGGGGGACCAUUACUAGUUGCUGACAGCGUGAAAGCUGGUGGUGGUCGCAGAGGAGAGAGGGAAGCGACUGUUUAUUAAAAACACAGGUCCGUGCGAAAACGUGGAAGUUGAGGUAUACGGACUGACGCCUGCCCGGUGCUGGAAGGUUAAGAGGACCCGUGAGUGCAUCUUUGUGGUGUGCGAGGCGGAGAAUUGAAGCCCCAGUAAACGGCGGUGGUAACUAUAACCAUCCUAAGGUAGCGAAAUUCCUUGUCGGGUAAGUUCCGACCUGCACGAAUGGCGUAACGACUUCCCUGCUGUCUCAACCACAGGCCCGGUGAAAUUGCAGUACGAGUAAAGAUGCUCGUUUCGCGCGGCAGGACGAAAAGACCCCGGGACCUUUACUAUAGCUUGGUAUUGGUGUUUGGUCAUGCUUGUGUAGGAUAGGUGGGAGACUGUGAAACCAUAACGCUAGUUGUGGUGGAGUCGGUAAGUGAAAUACCACUCUGGUGUGAUUGGGUACCUGAACCUUGGCCCGUGAUCCGGGUUGGGGACAGUGCCUGGUGGGUAGUUUAACUGGGGCGGUUGCCUCCUAAAUGGUAACGGAGGCGCCCAAAGGUUUCCUCAGUCUGGUUGGCAAUCAGAUGGUGAGUGUAAGUGUAUAAGGGAGCUUGACUGUGACACUGACGGGUGGAGCAGGUGCGAAAGCAGGGACUAGUGAUCCGGCACCUACGUGUGGUUGUGGUGUCGCUCAACGGAUAAAAGGUACCCCGGGGAUAACAGGCUGAUCUUCCCCAAGAGUUCAUAUCGACGGGAUGGUUUGGCACCUCGAUGUCGGCUCGUCGCAUCCUGGGGCUGGAGUAGGUCCCAAGGGUUGGGCUGUUCGCCCAUUAAAGCGGCACGCGAGCUGGGUUUAGAACGUCGUGAGACAGUUCGGUCUCUAUCCGCCGCGCGCGU
Molecule: ribosomal RNA, 1674 nt
Filed under: human metagenome
Description: bacterial LSU rRNA
Rfam family: Bacterial large subunit ribosomal RNA
Source: RNAcentral